GGGCGUGUUCCAGAGUGGCCAAAUGGGGCAGACUGUAAAUCUGCUGGCUUUCGCCUUCGGUGGUUCGAAUCCAUCCGCGCCCA
RNAcentral lists this transfer RNA (83 nucleotides) under Bacteroidales bacterium. Its description in RNAcentral is "tRNA-Tyr". It matches the Rfam family "tRNA". From Rfam's summary of the family: Transfer RNA (tRNA) molecules are approximately 80 nucleotides in length. Their secondary structure includes four short double-helical elements and three loops (D, anti-codon, and T loops). RNAcentral also lists the same sequence under 1 other name. Lineage: Bacteria; Pseudomonadati; Bacteroidota; Bacteroidia; Bacteroidales. The record is from RNAcentral.